CCUACGGGAGGCAGCAGUGGGGAAUAUUGCACAAUGGGGGGAACCCUGAUGCAGCGACGCCGCGUGAGCGAUGAAGUAUUUCGGUAUGUAAAGCUCUAUCAGCAGGGAAGAAAAUGACGGUACCUGACUAAGAAGCCCCGGCUAACUACGUGCCAGCAGCCGCGGUAAUACGUAGGGGGCAAGCGGUAUCCGGAUUUACUGGGUGUAAAGGGAGCGUAGACGGCAGUGCAAGUCUGGAGUGAAAGGCAUGGGCUCAACCAGUGGACUGCUUUGGAAACUGUGCGGCUGGAGUGUCGGAGAGGCAAGUGGAAUUCCUAGUGUAGCGGUGAAAUGCGUAGAUAUUAGGAGGAACACCAGUGGCGAAGGCGGCUUACUGGACGGUAACUGACGUUGAGGCUCGAAAGCGUGGGGAGCAAACAGGAUUAGAUACCCCAGUAGUC
Molecule: ribosomal RNA, 440 nt
Filed under: uncultured bacterium
Lineage: Bacteria
Description: partial 16S ribosomal RNA
Rfam family: Bacterial small subunit ribosomal RNA
Source: RNAcentral